GUAGUACUCCCUCCGUCCUAAAAUUCUUGUCUUAGAUUUGUCUAAAUACGGAUGUAUGAUACAUCCGUAUCUAGACAAAUUUAAGACAAAAAUUUUGGAACGGAAGGAGUAUAUG
Molecule: non-coding RNA, 115 nt
Organism: Triticum aestivum (bread wheat)
Lineage: Eukaryota; Viridiplantae; Streptophyta; Magnoliopsida; Poales; Poaceae
Source: Rfam